RNAcentral lists this long non-coding RNA (3356 nucleotides) under Octopus sinensis (East Asian common octopus). RNAcentral describes it as "uncharacterized LOC118763832". Lineage: Eukaryota; Metazoa; Mollusca; Cephalopoda; Octopoda; Octopodidae. The record is from RNAcentral.
UCCUGCUGAGGUCAGCUUUGCUUUUUAUCCUUUCAAGGUCAAUGAAAUAAAAUACCUGUCAAGUGGGAUCAAUGUAAUUAACUAGUCCCUCUCUUGAAGUUUGAUGGUCAUGUGCCAAUAUUAGAAAGAAUAUUGGUUGUCUACAAAGACAGGUGUAAGAUUUUCAGUUUAUAGAAAACAGGUCAUAAGUUUCUGGAGGACAUCAGCAAUGCAAGAAGUGAAAUGACUAAAUCCAAAAUUAAAACAUGAUGGCUUUCAUAGUUGAAUUAAUUGGAAAUAAUGAUUAAAAAAAAAUUAACCCUUUUUCUACCCCAAGAUAAACUUUUAUAUGUUUAUCCUAAAAACCUCUCAUUUUUUUUUCAUUUUUGUUUUCUCCCUCUCAUUUGCAUAUUCCUUGCCUUUCUCCACUUCCUCAGUUUCUUACUUCCCUCUUUAUUCCUUUCCUCUCUUAGAUAUUUGUUUGAAAUAUCUCUAUAAGAGUUUCACUGAAACCAUACAUUACACAACAUACACCAGGUGCAUCAAUUGAAUUGUUUGUUUAAACCUGGUUUGAAACAAUGACUUGUUCUUUCAAAUCAAUGUUGAAUCCUGCUACGAGAAGUGACCGUUACAGGAAGACAGCAUACUUUGUUCCUGUAACAGGUUGCCCAGUGUUUGUGUAGCAAGGUUAUCUCUCUUGUUUAAGGUCUUGGCUUGUUUAACUUUCUCUAGCCUUUCUCUCUUUUAUGCUCCCUCACUCCUUCCCUUCUGUCUCAUCCUUUGUGCUGAUUCAUUUAACAAUGCCAGAAAUUCCUAGAUACACUCUUCUACACAAUUACCUUGUUCUCAAAAGAUAUUUACCAGAAGAAAAUAUACUUUAAGCAAUAGGGUACAAAAUGUUCCCUUCUGUAAUUUUUCUUUUGGAAAGGUCUUUUAAAAUCGGAUUAAAACUGAUAAAAGUAUGGAAAUUUUGAAGAAAUAUUGGGAAAUUAUAUUUUUAGCCAUUCUCUGUUAAAUAUUUCUUGAUUUUUUACAAUAUUAUCUUCCAGUUUUAAUCAUUUAUUAAUUUUGCUGUUAUCAAGAUUAUGCAAUAUUUUUCUGGUUAUUGAUUUUAACCAGUAAGAUAUCUAAAAUAUUGAUUGCUUCAGAUACUUGUCUAUCACUUAUGUAUGUAAAUAUGUGUAAUUUAAAUUAUGCAUGAAAAUGUGCAUAUAGACAAAAAGAGACAAACAUAUAUAGAUAAACUAGUAUCCGAAGCGAUCACUAUCAAAUAGCAGGACACAAUGAUUUUGUCUCUAUGAGAAGAAAUACUACUAAUUACAAAGUAUUUUCUUCUUACUUUGGUUGCUAUGGUUUCAGUUAAACUUCAUAUUUUGUCCAGAGAGGUUCCUAGAUUAAACUAUCUGUGUGUCCUCUAUGAUAGUUUAAUCUUCUCAGAUCAAGGGGUUAAUUGAAUUAUAUAUGAAAUAACCUUUCGUUCAAUUUCUUCAUAUAUGUGUGUAUAUAUAAAGGUAUAGUUAUGUGCUUAGUUAGAAACAAGUGUACAUAGAUAAUCAGACAUGUGUGCACAAACAUUUAAAUGUACAACCCACGUACGCAUUAAAUAAGAUAGCACUUAACUUCAUCACAAUGUUUGAAUAUUGCCUUAUUUAUUGAGUGCUUAUUAUAUAUCUAUGAAAACACACACACAUAUCUAUAAGCAUAUAUCUCCAUUCACACAUUCCAGUAUGAACUCACAUGCAACCACAUACUCAGAAACAGAGACAUAAUGCAACCCAUUAUAGGUUGAUGUUGUCAAUAGAACCAAUUUGUUGCAUUCUUAAAUACUAAUAGUGGCACCUUAAGAUGUUUUAAGAAUCCCAGAUGAAUGAAAACUCUUUCAGAAAUUUAUCAGCCAACCUCCAAACAAUGCUGAUAGUUUCCCAUAUUAAUAUGAAGCCUCAACUUCAGAAAGAUUACCAUGUGUUGCCUCAACAUUAAUAUUUUUCCCAAAGAUAUUAAUUAGCAAUGUAAUUGAAGUAUUACCAACUGAAUUGAAAUGACUCCUAGACUAGGCUCAACAAAUCUGCCCCUGUAUUAUAACAGUUGGAUUUUACAUGACAAAGUAGAGUGUAUAGUCAACUGAAUCAACUGCAGUGUAUAACUUGUAUGUAUUUUACUGGUAUCUGAUAUAAUGGACUAGAUCCUACUAAAGAUUCACCUGUUCUUAGUAAUACCAAUUUGUAGGAAAGACAGUGUGAUGAACUAGACCGGAUCCAGUAUAUUACUGGUACUUAUUGUAUUAAUUUUGAAUAGAACAAUAAGAAUAACAGUUUCUUACUUUGGAACAUGGUUGAACUGACUCUCUUCCCUAAUACAUGUCUGUCUUAUAAUAUAGACGCUGGAUAGAUGAAGGGCAAAGUAAACUUCAGUAGGGUUUGAAUUUAGAACUCAGGAUGUAUCUAAAUUUUGUAAAGCAUUUCGUCUGGUGCUCCACCUUUGUAAAUAAUAAUAUCUACAGGCAUUGUUUUGUUUUUGUUUUGAAAUACCUUACAAACAUCAAAAUAGGUUACGUACUCUCCUAAAUUGGGAUUUUUCAAGCUGCUUUUGAAGCAGCUGUGUCACUUAUUUCAAUGAAUAAUUACUGUAGAAUAUUUCCUAUUUAAAAUAUUUAAAUAGGAUGAUGUCUGACAAAAACUUGCAUUAUCACCUACCAGUUGUGUCCUCCUACUCCAAUCUAUAAUGAAAUCCUCAAUUCAAAAAGCAACAACUUUUGAUUAACUUGUAUCAAAAUGUAAAAUAUCUAUCAAUGAAAAACUUAAUUAAAACAAAAAAAAAUAAUUUCUAUAAACUCUACUAAUCAAAUUAUAAUUGACUAAGCUUGCUUCAUUCAUCAAAUUAAUUUUUAUUUUUUUAUUAUCCUAAAAUGAAAUUAAGUUGAGGCUGUUGAAAUCUCACAAUGUAUUUUCUCCCUACAAAGCUUGAAUGCAGUAAAGAAGCUUCCCUUCACACUCCCCUCUCUGUGGGAAUUAGAUAUUAAUGACAGGAAUGUGAUGCAUAAGCAAAUCCAAAGACCUUUCCACUUUUGGUAAUGUGACUGCUUAUUAUAAUUAGAAUUAAUUAUAAUAGUAACAUUCUAAACUGAAAUUGUGACUAACAUUAAAGUCAUCAUCUGUUCUAAUAAAAAUAUUCAUUUUUGUUUUUUUUUUUGGGGGGGGGGGGAAUAUUUUUGUGUGUGUGUGUAUAUAUAUAUAUAUAUAUAAUAUAUAUAUAUAUAUAUGUAUAUAUAAAAUGUUGCAGUUAGAUGUGUGCGUGUGUGUGUGAGUUUUCCUUCAUUAAUUAACUUAAAAUUUUUUAAUUGUAUUUCCUUCAUUUGUCUUUCUGUUAACAAAUACCAU